UGUCAGCCGGGUGUUGGACGUCCCGGUUUAAGCGUGUAGGCGUGCCCCUUAGGCAAAUCCGGGGGGCUGAGCUGAGGCGUGAUGACGAGGAACCACGGUUCCGAAGUGAUUGAUACCAAGCUUCCAGGAAAAGCCACUAAGCUUCAGUCUAGAGUUGACCGUACCGCAAACCGACACAGGUGGGCAGGAUGAAAAUUCUAAGGCGCUUGAGAGAACUCAGGAGAAGGAACUCGGCAAAUUAACACCGUAACUUCGGGAGAAGGUGUGCCCCGGUAGCUGUAGAGACUUGCUCUCGAAGCGCGAUGGGGUUGCAGUGAAAUGGUGGCUGCGACUGUUUAAUAAAACACAGCACUCUGCAAACACGAAAGUGGACGUAUAGGGUGUGACGCCUGCCCGGUGCCGGAAGGUUAAGUGAUGGGGUGCAAGCUCUUGAUCGAAGCCCCGGUAAACGGCGGCCGUAACAAUAACGGUCCUAAGGUAGCGAAAUUCCUUGUCGGGUAAGUUCCGACCUGCACGAAUGGCGUAACGAUGGCCACACUGUCUCCUCCUGGGACUCAGCGAAGUUGAAAUGUUUGUGAAGAUGCAAUCUACCCGCGGCUAGACGGAAAGACCCCAUGAACCUUUACUGUAGCUUUGCAUUGGACUUUGAACCGGUUUGUGUAGGAUAGGUGGGAGACUGUGAAGCCGGGACGCUAGUUUCGGUGGAGUCAACCUUGAAAUACCACCCUGAUUUGUUUGAGGUUCUAACCUUGGUCCGUGAAUCCGGAUCGGGGACCGUGCAUGGUAGGCAGUUUGACUGGGGCGGUCUCCUCCCAAAAGGUAACGGAGGAGUACGAAGGUACGCUUAGGGCGGUCGGACAUCGCCCACAAAGUGCAAUGGCAAAAGCGUGCUUGACUGCGAGACCCACAAGUCGAGCAGGUACGAAAGUAGGUCAUAGUGAUCCGGUGGUUCUGUAUGGAAGGGCCAUCGCUCAACGGAUAAAAGGUACUCUGGGGAUAACAGGCUAAUUCCUCCCAAGAGUUCAUAUCGACGGGGGAGUUUGGCACCUCGAUGUCGGCUCAUCACAUCCUGGGGCUGUAGUCGGUCCCAAGGGUAUGGCUGUUCGCUAUUUAAAGUGGUACGCGAGCUGGGUUUAAAACGUCGUGAGACAGUUUGGUCCCUAUCUGCCGUGGGCGCUGGAAAUUUGAAGGGGGCUGCUCCUAGUACGAGAGGACCGGAGUGGACGAACCUCUGGUGUACCGGUUAUGACGCCAGUCGUAUCGCCGGGUAGCUAAGUUCGGAAGAGAUAAACGCUGAAAGCAUCUAAGCGUGAAACUCGCCUUAAGAUAAGAUUUCCCGGAGUCUUGAACUCCCUGAAGGGUCGUCGAAGACCACGACGUUGAUAGGUCAGGUGUGGAAGCGCAGCAAUGCGUUAAGCUAACUGAUACUAAU
This 1432-nucleotide ribosomal RNA is filed under the name metagenome. RNAcentral's name for it is "bacterial LSU rRNA". It matches the Rfam family "Bacterial large subunit ribosomal RNA", at positions 1485 to 2905 of the family's 2925-position model. The record is from RNAcentral.